Molecule: RNA transcript, 4752 nt
Organism: Manihot esculenta (cassava)
Lineage: Eukaryota; Viridiplantae; Streptophyta; Magnoliopsida; Malpighiales; Euphorbiaceae
Gene name: protein PELOTA 1
Exons: 14
Source: RefSeq, a predicted model, not a curated record
UAAAAGGCAAUGUCGCAGUCUAGAUAUAGAACGUAAGUUGGCAUUUGAAAGGCAGUGUCGUAGUUCAGUUAUGAGGCAUAGACGAAGUGUCGCACCUAUCCCAAAUCCUCAUUCACUAGCAGACUAAAUGAAAUUAUUGCUUGAAAAAAUAAAGAAUAAUGGCAUAAAAAUCCAAAAUUUUAUUUCUUGGCACAAUAAAUUAGGAUUUAAAAAUAUUUGGCUAUUCUUUCUAAAUUUGAAUUGAAAGUGGGGGAGUAUCUGUCGGUAGCAGGCCAUAUUGUAUUUUUAUAUUACUUAAUGCUGGACUCUACGCUACACCUUGGAUAACCGAGGUAUUAAUCGUUGGUUAAUUAAGAUAAAAUUCUUAAAUGGUGUAGAAAAACCUAAAAUGCUCUCAUCGAUGCCGUCGCUCGCUGCCGAAUUUAUUUUUCCCACUUCGUCCUUCGCACAAAAAGUUGGCCUUCUUGCUUCACCACCAUUUUGGCCUCAGAAAAGGAGAUAUUGCCUUCGUGCUUUCUCCUAGCUCUAUUCACCUUUCGGUCCUUUAUUUCUAUAUCUUCUCUCUCGGUGUUGUUACCUCUCAUAAAAAAUCAAUUAUCUUUAAACUUGAUUCUCCACCAAAUUCAGCUGUCGAAACCUGUACUUGUAUUCGUCACGUCGAAUGCUGCUCAUACAAUUCCUAAUCUCAAAACAAUCGUACUCGACUCUCCCGAGUUUGAAUCGCUGAUGAUGAGUCUAGCUCACUGUGGAGAAAUGGAAGGAGUGAAGGUUUACCAAUUGGACCCUGGGACAAUUCUCUAUCCUCACGGACUACUAGUCGAGUUAAUGGAGUGGUUUUGGCUCAUCAAAAUUUCAGAUGCAUGGUGGCCCAAAGUCAUGCGGUUUACACGAGCUGGAUGGCAGGUCACCGACUUCGUCCUUCGCACAAAAAAUUGGCCUUCUCGCUUCACCACCAUUUUGGCCUCAGAAAAGGAGAUAUUGCCUUCGUGCUUUCUCCUAACUCAAUUCACCUUUCGAUCCUUUAUUUUUAUAUCUUCUCUCUCGGUGUUGUUACCUCUUUUAAACCUGUAAUUGUGUUCGUCACGUUGAAUGCUGCUCUUACAAUUCCUAAUCUCAAAACUAUCUUACUCGACUCUUCCGAGUUUACUGUGGCUAGCUAUUUCUGUUACUUGAAUGCAUAUCCAUGUGGGAAUAAUUUCUUUAGAAGUUCCACACUGUUGAUUUUUUAGAAUCCCAACCAUGUGGUUUACAUCUGUUAUGCUCAAGCUGCUUGUAGUUAGGCGUUGAUACCGGCUAUUAACAAAUUACUAUUGGUGCACAUGGUGCUCUUUGUUGCAAUUUUCCUUUUUUUUGAGUUGGAAUAGUAAGAAUCACUCAUUUAAUAGCAUUAUGUCCACCUUGACUUCAUUGAAGUGUCAAAUGCAUCAUGCAAUUGACUAUUCUUAUAGAAAAGUUAAGCCCUGUCGGUGCUCACUCACACAUCAUAGUUUACUACUAAGCAAUUAUAAUGCCAUAAUGCAACUGAGCAAUUGAGGAUCCUAACUAAUGAAAACUAAGUGUGGUUGUUCUCCUAUAAAAUGCUCUGGUUUACUAGAGAUGUUAAAGCUACUGGCAAUAAAUAUUGCCUAGAGGAGAAUCUGGAAAAUUGGCUCUUCUCUUCAUAAUCAGUGUCUCACUAAAAGGACAUUACUGUACGAUGCAUGGAAAUGCAUGCUACAUCUAGAAUUCCUAACCUGUUGGACCUUGAUGGCCUAAAACUUAGUUUCUUUAGGCUGGGUGUUGUCCCUUAACUUAGUUUUUGCACUCUUGAGCAAUACCUGCCUGGCAGUUAUUCCUUUGUUGCUGAUGCUAGCUGUUUGUGUUCCGCCUACUGAAGUUGGUCCUUCAGGGUUUUAUAGAUCCCGGUGCAAGUGCUGAUCUUGCUGUGGUUUUAAUGCAAGAAGGACUUGCACACAUCUUACUUGUCGGUAAAAGGUAAGCGUGACAGCUACUCGAUCAAGGAUAGAGACUUCAAUUCCUCGAAAGCAUGGCCCUGCCAUUGCUGGUUAUGAGUCGGCAUUGAAUAAGUUCUUUGAGCAUGUUUUACAGAUCCCGGUGCAAGUGCUGAUCUUGCUGUGGUUUUAAUGCAAGAAGGACUUGCACACAUCUUACUUGUCGGUAAAAGCUACUCGAUCAAGGAUAGAGACUUCAAUUCCUCGAAAGCAUGGCCCUGCCAUUGCUGGUUAUGAGUCGGCAUUGAAUAAGUUCUUUGAGCAUGUUUUACAGGCUUUCCUAAAGCAUAUUGAUUUCAGUGUCAUUCGUUGUGCGGUGAUUGCAAGCCCUGGUUUCACUAAGCAAUAUAUACAAUAGUCGAGUGUUUUAUUCUUCAGGAUCAGUUUCAUCGUCACUUAUUGUUGGAGGCAGAGAGGGGACAGCUGAGACCCAUUAUUGAGAACAAGUCACGCAUAGUGCAAGCUCAGGAUACAAGUGUGACCAGGAUUCUUAUAAAUCAAAGCAAUUAGGGACGGUAUUGGAACCAGAGGAUGAUUCUGAUGUUCUAAUUGAAGGUCUUCCUGUUUACUUUAUUGAGCCUCAACACCCUGACAAGUUCUUUUGGAGAGGGCAGUUUUACGGAGAACAUGAUGAUUUCUAUCGUUUUUCAUUUUUCAGCCGUGCUGCACUUGAAUUGCUUCUUCAAGCUGGCAAAAAAACCAGACAUAAUUCAUUGCCAUGACUAAUUUAAAAUUUGCUUCUGCCUUAAUUUUCUUACAGUGCAUGAUCAUACAUUUUACAACUACGGAAAACUAUAUGAAUGGGUCAUUUGAUUCUCUGUUUGGAGUUUUCUUGAAUAUUUGUUAUUUUCUUUGUGAAUGUGCAUCCAAUCCUAGAAGUCUUUCAUAUUUUAUUGAAUACGUGGGCUGCAUAACAAGAAUGGUGCCACAGAAAGGUGUACACCGUAUUAGACAUGCAAUAUACCGUACCCUAGAGUUGGGAGGACAAUUUCUACUACUUGGCUCAAGCCCAGUUGCACAUGUAUUUCUCUUUAUGCUACUGAAAAUAUGCAAUGCUCUGUACCUCUGUUUUGCGAUUUUGUCAGAUUUGUAUUUAACAUGCUAUUAUUGACUGUUAUUCUGAUGGAUAAAAAUGUUUCCCCGAGCAGGGAUCGAAUGGUGCUUUAGAACAUGCAUUUAACCAUUACAGGAACGAUCCUGAGAACUGUAGCGACGAUUUGAUUUCAACUACCUUUAAUUGUUUCAUUUUCAUGGAAUUUUCUGUGGGAAAUUUAUCCUUUCAGAGUAGAAGAUGACAGUUCUUUUACAAGACAGUUGCAGAGAAGAUGCACUUUUAGCAUGCAAAAAUUACAUUAUGCUUUGAAUUAAAUCACAACAAUUUACAUAUCAUCACAGCGCAAUAUAAUCUGAAGUUCAAACAUAAAAACUCUCCUUUUUUUCUCAUGUGGGUCAUGGUACAAAUUUCUGCAAGUGUGAGUAGACUAGGGAUACCCAACUAUAACUGGUGGUCUGAGGCUUGGUCUCUUAUGUGGGUCGUGGUACAAAUUUCUCCAAUGUCCUACCUGCAGCUACAAGGCUUUCGUCCUUUUCCAAGCCAUUGGAAAGUUUCUACUGAAGGCAGGGCCAUGCAGAAUGUAGGAUUGACAGGCUUGACGUUUUGGUCGCCAAAUGUUAACAUUUUUCGUGAUCCCAGAUGGGGAAGAGGCCAAGAGGCCCCUGGUUAGAAGUCCAUUUAUUAUUUUUCUUUUGUGUGCUUUUGAAUUGUGAUAAUUCAGGUAACAAAGCAAGACAUGGAAGAUACAUUUCAACCUCCAUUUAGAAGUUGUGUUCUUGAUGGUAAUGUUGCCAGUGUAAUGUGUUCCUACAAUCAGGUCAAUGGUAAGCCAACAUGUGCUGAUCCAAAUCUUCUUUCUGGGGUCAUUCGAGGCGAAUGGAAAUUGAAUGGAUACAUAGUUUCUGACUGUGAUUCAGUAUAUGAGUUCUUCAAUGGACAACACUAUACCAAAACACCAGAAGAAGCUGCAGCUACAGCAAUAUUGGCAGGUCUGGAUCUCAAUUGCUGGUGAUUCUUAGGCCAGCACACUGAAGUCUUGGUCCCACUAUGAUGAGUCGAUUAUUGACAAGGCUGUCUCAAAUAAUUUUGCUACUAUGAUGAGACUUGGUUUUUUUUAUGGUGAUCCUACCAAGCAAAUCUAUGGAAAUCUUGGUCCAAAACAUGGUAUCCACUAUCAUUCAUGAACAUGAGAGCAGAUCCUUUGACGGGCUAUCCAGGCAGAACCUACAGAUUUCAUACUGGAGAAACUGUUUAUUCAUCCAAGAGCUCCAAGCAUAGCCCAUCUGCAGUGAAUCACUUCAAGCUCACGGUUCUUGACAAAAGUUUCUGAGUCAGCACAGAGACCAACAGUAUCCCAUCCAUAGUCACCUGGGAACUCACUAGUCAAGUAAGACGGAAGCUCACUGGAGAAUGGACAUGGCCAUUGCCCAUGAGCUUAGGGGCAAAGGAGAAGAGCUUCACCGCCUUGCUAGUGGAAGUGGUGGGUCGAAAAGAGAAGGGGUCCAAUGGGUAUUAAUAGAUAGUUGGGGAUGGAUUUCCUUAUUUCAGUGAAAUCUACUUUCAGGAUUCCAUAAGAGGGGUAUUUAAAUCUGUCACUUCAUUGGAAGUUGUAGAUUUUAUUUGUUUGUUCUUUUUAUCCUAUAUGAUAUUCUUUGGACCGCUAAAUUCUUUUAUUUAUUUAUUGUUCAUAUCGACGUUCCAUAUUUA